RNAcentral lists this transfer RNA (76 nucleotides) under Planctomycetota bacterium. RNAcentral describes it as "Planctomycetes bacterium tRNA-Thr". It matches the Rfam family "tRNA". Rfam says of the family: Transfer RNA (tRNA) molecules are approximately 80 nucleotides in length. Lineage: Bacteria; Pseudomonadati; Planctomycetota. The record is from RNAcentral.
GCUGCAGUAGCUCAGCCGGUAGAGCACCUCCUUGGUAAGGAGGAGGUCACGGGUUCAAGUCCCGUCUGCAGCUCCA